This 1283-nucleotide ribosomal RNA is filed under the name uncultured bacterium. RNAcentral's name for it is "bacterial SSU rRNA". It matches the Rfam family "Bacterial small subunit ribosomal RNA", at positions 63 to 1344 of the family's 1533-position model. The record is from RNAcentral.
CGAACGGAGCUAGACGCUGAUGAAUAGCUUGCUAGGAAUCUUGUUUAGCUUAGUGGCGGACGGGUGAGUAACGCGUGAGCAACCUGCCUUUCAGAGGGGGAUAACGUUUGGAAACGAACGCUAAUACCGCAUGAUAUUAAAGGGCUGCAUGGCCUGAUAAUCAAAGGAGCAAUCCGCUGAAAGAUGGGCUCGCGUCCGAUUAGGUAGUUGGUGAGGUAACGGCCCACCAAGCCGACGAUCGGUAGCCGGACUGAGAGGUUGAACGGCCACAUUGGGACUGAGACACGGCCCAGACUCCUACGGGAGGCAGCAGUGAGGGAUAUUGGUCAAUGGGGGAAACCCUGAACCAGCAACGCCGCGUGAGGGAAGACGGUUUUCGGAUUGUAAACCUCUGUCCUCUGUGAAGAUGAUGACGGUAGCAGAGGAGGAAGCUCCGGCUAACUACGUGCCAGCAGCCGCGGUAAUACGUAGGGAGCGAGCGUUGUCCGGAUUUACUGGGUGUAAAGGGUGCGUAGGCGGCUUAGCAAGUCAGAAGUGAAAUCCAUGGGCUUAACCCAUGAACUGCUUUUGAAACUGCUAAGCUUGAGUGGAGUAGAGGUAGGCGGAAUUCCCGGUGUAGCGGUGAAACGCGUAGAGAUCGGGAGGAACACCAGUGGCGAAGGCGGCCUACUGGGCUCUAACUGACGCUGAGGCACGAAAGCGUGGGUAGCAAAAAAGAUUGGAUACCCUGGUAGUCCCUGCUGUAAAACGAUGAUUAAGGAGGUGUGGGUGGACUGACCCCAUCCGUGCCGGAGUUAACACAAUAAGUAAUCCACCUGGGGAGUACGGCCGCAAGGCUGAAACUCAAAGGAAUUGACGGGGGCCCGCACAAGCAGUGGAGUAUGUGGAUUAAUUCGAUGCAACGCGAAGAACCUUACCAGGUCUUGACAUCCCGCUAACGAAGUAGAGAUACAUUAGGUGCCCUUCGGGGAAAGCGGAGACAGGUGGUGCAUGGUUGUCGUCAGCUCGUGUCGUGAGAUGUUGGGUUAAGUCCCGCAACGAGCGCAACCCUUACUGUUAGUUGCUACGCAAGAGCACUCUAGCAGGACCGCCGUUGACAAAACGGAGGAAGGUGGGGAUGAUGUCAAAUCAUCAUGCCCCUUAUGACCUGGGCCUCACACGUACUACAAUGGCCAUUAACAGAGGGAAGCAAAGCCGCGAGGCAGAGCAAAACCCCAAAAAUGGUCUCAGUUCGGAUCGCAGGCUGCAACCCGCCUGCGUGAAGUUGGAAUUGCUAGUAAUCG